AUGUGGAGGUGGUCCUGCGGCGCCGAUGCCCUCCCCAGCUGCCGGUGGCGGCACUUUUUGUUCGUGCCCAAGCGCUCGGUGAGGUCACCUCUCACCUCCCUCCUAUGGUGCCACCGCCCCAAGCCCCCAACCCAUUUGCAGCUCCCUCUUCCCCACUCCCAGGGUUGCAGAUCUGAGCGGGACAAGGUCCCUUCGGCCUUGGUGGUUUGGAACAAGGCGUGCGGCCUCUACUCCCUUAACUUCUGGAUACUAGGGGCACGGGUCAAACAAACUUUCAUAGGUUUGGUGGAUGUUUGGGCAAUUACUCAACUACUAACAAAAGGCCACUGGAUGAUUUUUAUACCUGCAUCACAUCAAGUGGAUUUGGAUAGAACACAAGCUGGCAUGGUCUUCAUCGUGGAUUCAAUCUCCACACGAGUGGAGUGGCCUCUGACUUGUGCCGCAGCUGCGGACGGGCAGAGGAGACGACGACCAUUAUACAUGAUUAAUGCUUUGAUGCUGUACAUGAAUCUGAAACAAGAGGAAGAACCGAGGAUUCUUCAAGAAGCUUCUUCUAUUCGUGCACAAUGGCGUCGUAGUCAAGGUUCAAUCGACACAUGGUGUGUAAGCAUUGCCUAUCUACCUAAAGGGUAUGCAGGAGCGUUGCCAACAUCAAUGUGCUUUGUGCUGCAGAAAUGGAUUUUCAAAAACCUCCAGCACAUGGUGUCCUGGGAAUUCCUGGAUAUGUCGACCUGCUAG
This 738-nucleotide ribosomal RNA is filed under the name Triticum aestivum (bread wheat). RNAcentral describes it as "partial small subunit ribosomal RNA". Lineage: Eukaryota; Viridiplantae; Streptophyta; Magnoliopsida; Poales; Poaceae. The record is from RNAcentral.